ACGUAGGGGGCGAGCGUUGUCCGGAUUCAUUGGGCGUAAAGGGCGCGCAGGCGGCCCGGCAAGCGAGGCCUCUAAGCCCGGGGCUCAACCCCGGGACGGGCCCCGAACUUCCGGGCUCGAGCGCGGCAGGGGAGGACGGAAUUCCCGGUGUAGCGGUGGAAUGCGCAGAUAUCGGGAAGAACGCCGACGGCGAAGGCAGUCCUCUGGGCCGCGGCUGACGCUGAGGCGCGAAAGCCGGGGGAGCGAACAG
Molecule: ribosomal RNA, 250 nt
Filed under: uncultured bacterium
Lineage: Bacteria
Description: partial 16S ribosomal RNA
Rfam family: Bacterial small subunit ribosomal RNA
Source: RNAcentral